RNAcentral lists this long non-coding RNA (237 nucleotides) under Linum usitatissimum (flax). Its description in RNAcentral is "long non-coding RNA (LUSI_LNC003762)". The record is from RNAcentral. Lineage: Eukaryota; Viridiplantae; Streptophyta; Magnoliopsida; Malpighiales; Linaceae.
UAAGAGUUAAUAAAGUUGCUAAGUGUUGAAGAAUGAUGGAUUAUAUACUCCCCCUUCAAUCUGUUUGAUGAAUAAUGGUAGCUUCGAAAAAAAGAGGAGAAGAAAAGGUUGGAAUGUUGAAAAAAGGGAGGAGACAAAUAAAAAAAAUUAGUCUUGAGAUAAGAAAAAUCAAAAAAAUCAAAAAUUUGAAUGAACGAGCAUAAUGGCUCGGAGUAGUAGUUUGAAUAGGGAUAGAGG